Long non-coding RNA from Anguilla rostrata (American eel), 281 nucleotides. RefSeq lists it as uncharacterized. The record is from RefSeq and is a predicted model, not a curated record. NCBI's taxonomy places the organism in Eukaryota, Metazoa, Chordata, Actinopteri, Anguilliformes, Anguillidae. The transcript has 2 exons.
GAUUGAGCCACACCUGGCUUCUCUCCUCACCUGCUCCUGGGGUGCCAGAGGGCUGGAGGACAAUAGGCCAGAGGAGAAGUUGGAGAAAGGAUACAGCCAAGGACCUGACUGCCCUGUACCCCCCAGCCCCUGUCUAAUGCCCUUCCCCAUUGUCUCUCCCCAGGAGCAGCCUCCGUGCCCUGGAGAGGAACAUUGAAGCCCAGACCGGGAAGAACUUGAAUUACUUUUCUCCCCUUACCCUUCCCCAGUAAUUUGUUUCAAUAGAUUUUUGUUAACCGCAA